AUAUAUCUGGGGUAUUCGUGUAGCUCUUAUUUUGAACCUACAGUUAAGAAACGGGAGUUCAAAAUUUAGAUGUGAAAUUGACUUAUGAGACCGAAUCGGCAAGGACAAAGAAGUAUCUGUGAGGGCACCCACCUAUCGUUGAGAUAGGUAUCAAAAUUAGAGUAGCGGUAUUUUGGAAUAUU
RNAcentral lists this non-coding RNA (182 nucleotides) under Anaeromicrobium sediminis. RNAcentral describes it as "6S RNA". It matches the Rfam family "6S / SsrS RNA". Rfam says of the family: E. coli 6S RNA was the first non coding RNA to be sequenced, but its function was unknown until recently. Lineage: Bacteria; Bacillati; Bacillota; Clostridia; Peptostreptococcales; Thermotaleaceae. The record is from RNAcentral.